This 546-nucleotide ribosomal RNA is filed under the name Lemniscomys striatus (typical striped grass mouse). RNAcentral describes it as "partial large subunit ribosomal RNA". It matches the Rfam family "Bacterial large subunit ribosomal RNA", at positions 1816 to 2593 of the family's 2925-position model. Lineage: Eukaryota; Metazoa; Chordata; Mammalia; Rodentia; Muridae. The record is from RNAcentral.
CACCUCUAGCAUAACAAGUAUUAGAGGCAUUGCCUGCCCAGUGACUGAAGUUAAACGGCCGCGGUAUCCUGACCGUGCAAAGGUAGCAUAAUCACUUGUUCCUUAAUUAGGGACUAGAAUGAAUGGCUAAACGAGGGUUCUACUGUCUCUUAUUCUCAAUCAGUGAAAUUGACCUUCCAGUGAAGAGGCUGGAAUAAUAAAAUAAGACGAGAAGACCCUAUGGAGCUUAAAUUAACUAGCUUAACUAUUAAAAUACUACCCAAAUGGACUAAACAUAAAAAAAAUAAGCUAGCAAUUUCGGUUGGGGUGACCUCGGAGAAUAAAUUAUCCUCCGAAUGAUUAUAACAUAGACUAACAAGUCAAAGUAACAAUUAAAAUCUUAUUGAUCCAAUUCCCUUGAUCAACGGACCAAGUUACCCUAGGGAUAACAGCGCAAUCCUAUUUAAGAGUUCAUAUCGACAAUAAGGGUUUACGACCUCGAUGUUGGAUCAGGACAUCCCAAUGGUGCAGAAGCUAUUAAUGGUUCGUUUGUUCAACGAUUAAAAG